UGAAUUCCAAAUGUUUAUCUUCAUUGACUUGGGUUUUGCUGCCUUGAAACUUGGUUCUGAGUCUUCUGUCGUGUUUCUCUUGAUAUUGCAGGUUGU
Long non-coding RNA from Hibiscus syriacus, 96 nucleotides. RefSeq lists it as uncharacterized. NCBI's taxonomy places the organism in Eukaryota, Viridiplantae, Streptophyta, Magnoliopsida, Malvales, Malvaceae. The transcript is spliced from 3 exons. The record is from RefSeq and is a predicted model, not a curated record.